Molecule: long non-coding RNA, 2535 nt
Filed under: Triticum aestivum (bread wheat)
Lineage: Eukaryota; Viridiplantae; Streptophyta; Magnoliopsida; Poales; Poaceae
Description: long non-coding RNA (TAES_LNC012456)
Source: RNAcentral
CGUGAACUCGUCUGUGUGGGCCUCCUGGGGUGCGAUGGCGGCGGUGGCGGUAUACAGCCUUGUCUACAACUGUGCGGUAAGUUCAUGGUUUUCCUCUGUCCACCCCUCUCCCGGUUGCUCUGAGACCUAGCCCUAGAGCUAUGGCUGCUCAGUGUGCCGGUCAUCGAGCCAUGGUUUAUUAUGUGAUGGUAGACUCUCUAGCCAUUUCCUUACACCAGUAGUAUUGUUACUGUUCGCAUGUUCAAGCUUUUUGAUAUGCUCUCGGUUAAUGAUCAUGACUUCACUUUGUGAAUGGUCUUGCCCUGCUACGGGUGUUAUCAUCUUUGUUUUUGUGGGCUUGCUAAAUAAUUUUAAUCAUAGAUAUUCUAUGGGUGUUUCUGAGAUUCCCACAUAGAUUCAGAUUAUACUAGAUGGUAGCUUAGCUUCUUUUGUUAGUACUGGUGCAUGGUUUGUUCCGGAUUUGAUGUAAAGCAUUAGUCUUGAUAUGCAAGGAACAAUUCAUCUAGGACGAUGUUUUGCUGAAUCCAACUGAUCGUUGUUGUUUAGACUUGCCAAUGGUGCAUUGUCUGUGUAGCAGUGUUCCUUAAGUUUUGACAAGUGAAGCAAUAGGACACAUGAUGAUGCUAGGUUAUUUGUAUUUUUUCAGCGAUGAACUCGCGAACUAGUUCGCAGGCGGCCUAGUCCUUCCAGUGAGCAAUGAUAUGUAGGAUCUCUCAAAGAAAAUUCUCAUUCCAUACAUACCGAGUGUCUUUCCCCACUCUUUUGUUUUUAGCUUGUCAUGGCAAGAUUUCUUCCUGGCAAGUUAAGUAUAUGUGAAUGUUCAUCAACAUGCAAAAACUGAGUUGCAGUUAUUUGAUGUUUUGCCAGGGCAGUUUCUACGAGAUGCAAACAUGAUUGUGCUUGUCGCCCAGGACCAGGAUGUCGACGUAUGGUGUGCACCAGGAGGCGAACUCGUGCGGCUCAAGGACAGAUUGUUGUGAUGAUCUAUCUGGGUUGUCUAGAAAAAUCCCAAUUUUGAGUGAAGAGUGGAUCCUGUUUGCUGCAAUCUUCAGUACGUAUUGGAUCCCAAUUCCGUUUGUUUCUGGGAUGAUGCAGAUUUUUUGCCUGUCUAUACUAUAACUUGCUGAGAAGAACCAAUUGUCGCAGAUACUAGUGUCGAUGUUGCCUAACCAUUGUUCGAGGCUGAAGAAGCAAAUAGAUGAUCUGGAUGAGAAGAUGGUGGUGACUGACUCUUCUCCCGAGUCUUUGGCGUCCAAGUAGAUCCAGGUGAGUACUUUAGUAACUCAGGCCAUAUGAUCUGGGGCAACAUUGCUGCAUGACAUUAUUUGGCCAUCUCAGUUUUUACUGGUUGCACGACUAUAGCUCCUUUAGUAACCCAGGCCAGUAUGGCCAUUCAGAUAAAUUUGGCCAUCUUCAAGGGAUACGAAAUGACCACUCAAGUAACCCAGUUCCAGUGUAAUACGGACAUGAAGUAAAGCACCAGAUCAUAAUUGUUGUAGCGGCCCUUGUUCUACCUUGGCACCUCGUGCCAACAUAACAAACUGUUUUUAGGCCGUUGUGAUGUAAACUGCCGGUCCAUGUCUUUUGAUAAGCAAGCACAUUUAUCUAGAUGUCAUGUUAGUGUGUGCUUUGAUAGCUGCAUGUUGUCCGUCAAGUAAGAGUGCAUUUACCAACCAUACCAGGAUCCAUCUCAAUACGAGUUAGCAUCUGAUAGCUGUUGCAUGUUCUUUUCAUUUUGUUGGUACAAUUUCUGUUUGUCCAUAAUCUUAGAGCCUAAGUACUAUUUAUGAGAAUUUCCUGAAAGUGAAAUAUGACAAGAAAACUGGACUGGUUAAGGUGUUAUGUUUGUAAAAACUCUUGCUAACAGAUGCUGCUAAGCUAGCUAUGUUAAAUUUCUUGAGGUGGCUGAUAAGAACUUGUGGCAUACUCGACCUAUUCCAAUGUGUUUUGCUGAUGUGCUUCUUGGACGUGACAGGAUUGUCCUUUGUAGGUUGCUUUCUUGUGAUAACCCCUUGUUCGUUUGCUAUUAAUUGAUCUUGUUCUCUCUUGCUCUUUGCCCAGGAUGGUGAGGACGGCGAAAAGAAAAGAUUUUUGCUGGAGAUGGUGCACCCACACCCAUCGGGCUAUUCUUCCGGAGGGCAAAGCGGGCAAGAAGAGGGGUCAAUGGAGCUUGGAGCUCUAUGGGAAGUCUGGUGGUUUUGCUUUAUAUUUUGAUUUUUACAUGUGAAUGGGACGUUGUUUGCCUCGUUUUGCCGGGUGCUCAUGUUGUAUCCAACAUAUGUCUUUUUGAAAAGCAAUGUCAUGCUUCUCUAUGGGAGACGAGAGGUGCAUUUGGGAAGUCGCAAAAUCAUUGCUUUGUCAUGGGCUGGUCUGAGUUUCAAACAAUGUGAUGUUUUUUUUCUCUCGAAUGACAACCAGGAUAUUAGUAUGAUCUUUUUUUUAUCCAAUGUAUGUACCGAAGGAUCAUCACCCUCUUAUGUUUUUGUGUCGUGAAUACUCACGAGCUAAUCAUCCUCGUGUUUCGUAAAAUUUAAG